GACGAACGCUGGCGGCGUGCUUAACACAUGCAAGUCGAACGGAAAGGCCCUGCUUUUGUGGGGUGCUUGAGUGGCGAACGGGUGAGUAACACGUGAGUAACCUGCCCUUGACUUUGGGAUAACUUCAGGAAACUGGGGCUAAUACCGUAUAGGAGCUCCUGCUGCAUGGUGGGGGUUGGAAAGUUUCGGCGGUUGGGGAUGGACUCGCGGCUUAUCAGCUUGUUGGUGGGGUAGUGGCUUACCAAGGCUUUGACGGGUAGCCGGCCUGAGAGGGUGACCGGCCACAUUGGGACUGAGAUACGGCCCAGACUCCUACGGGAGGCAGCAGUGGGGAAUAUUGCACAAUGGGCGGAAGCCUGAUGCAGCAACGCCGCGUGCGGGAUGACGGUCUUCGGGUUGUAAACCGCUUUCGCCUGUGACGAAGCGUGAGUGACGGUAAUGGGUAAAGAAGCACCGGCUAACUACGUG
RNAcentral lists this ribosomal RNA (468 nucleotides) under uncultured bacterium. RNAcentral's name for it is "partial 16S ribosomal RNA". It matches the Rfam family "Bacterial small subunit ribosomal RNA", at positions 28 to 507 of the family's 1533-position model. The record is from RNAcentral.